This is a non-coding RNA of Urocitellus parryii (Arctic ground squirrel), 417 nucleotides long. Lineage: Eukaryota; Metazoa; Chordata; Mammalia; Rodentia; Sciuridae. The record is from RefSeq and is a predicted model, not a curated record.
GUGGUGGUGGUGGUGGUGGUGGUGGUGUGUGUGUGUGUGUGUUUUGGGGUGCUGCUGGGGAUCUAAGAGCUGAAGCCCUUGGGCUCCAGGAGAAAAGCAGCCUUUGGUGCUGAGCCUGUAGUCAUCUGAUUGGAACCAGCCUUGGAGUUCAGUGAGAGCCCUGAGCCUUGUGGAGAGGGAAGGGGGAAGCUCCUGAUGCUCCUGGACAGGCUGUUCUGGGGGAGGAGGAGGAGACAGCCUAUGGCUUUACAGGAAAACAGUUCUUUGGUUGGGUGAUCUUUCAUCAUAUAGAUGAUUGCCUUGGUGCUUUCACUGUAAGACCUGCAGCGAAGAUGAAAUUAUUUUGGUGAUUUUUUUUUGUGGCAAAUAAUAGAGAACUAUCUGAUCUCUUAAAAAGAAAGAAAGACAGAAAAAAAA